Molecule: small RNA, 27 nt
Filed under: Bombyx mori (domestic silkworm)
Lineage: Eukaryota; Metazoa; Arthropoda; Insecta; Lepidoptera; Bombycidae
Description: ovarian small RNA-35995
Source: RNAcentral
UGUUAAGUGGUUUAUGGAGCCCAUAGA